UCUCAGCAUUUUCUCAUAAGAGAGACACUCCAGUCCCCUGAUUAUCUUGGUAGCUUUCCGCUGGACUCUCUCCAGUAGUUCUCUGCCUUUCUUGAACUGGGGAGCUCAGAACUGGAUGCAGUACUCCAGAUGUGGCCUUACUACGGCAGAGUAGAGGGGGAAGAUAACCCCCCUUGACCUUCUGGCCAUGCUCCUUUUAAUGCACCCCAGGAUACCGUUGGCCUUCUUGACCACAAGGGCACAUUCCUGGCUCAUGAUCAGUUUGUUGUCCACCAGCACUCCCUUCUCAGCAAAGCCGCUUUGCAAUAGGUCAGUCCUCAACCUGUACCGGUACAUGGGGUUGUUCCUCCCCAGGUGCAGGACCUUGCCCUUGUUUUUGUUGAAUUUCAUCAGGUUCCCCUCAGCCCAGCUCUCCAGCCUGUCCAGGUCUCACUGGAUGGCAGCACAGCCUUCUGGCGUAUCAGCCACUCCUCCCAGCUUGGUAUUGUCAGCAAACUCGCUGAGGUUACACUCUAUCCCUUCGUCCAGGUUAUUGAUGAGUGUGUUGAACACGACUGGACCCAGCACGGACCCCUGGGGAACACUGAUAGUUACAGUCCAACCAGACUGCCAUUGAUCACGACCCUCUGAGUUCUGUUGUUGAGCCAGUUCUCUGUCCACCUCACUGUCCUCUCAUCUGACCCAUGCUUCCUAAGCUUACCUAUGAGGAUGUUCUGGGAGACAGCAUCAAAAGCCUUGCUGAAGUCAAGGUAUACAACAUCCACUGCUCUUGUUUCAUCUACACAGGCAGCCAUGCCAUCACAGAAUGCUAUCAGGUUGGUCAAGCAUGAUUUCCCCAUGGUGAAUCCAUGUUGACUGUUUCUGAUAAGCUCCUUGUUCUCUACAUGCCUGGAGAUGACCUCCAGGAUGAAACUGCCCCAUCACCUUUCCAGGGAUGGAGCCUUUGGGCACCUCUCCUGUCCUCCGUGACCUUUCAAAGAUGAUGGAGAGUGGCUCAGCAAGAACAUCUGCCAGCUUCCUCAGCACUCAUGGGUGCAUCCCAUCGGGGCCCACGGAUUGUAAGGAUCCAGUUUGCAUUGGUGAUCUCUGACCCAAUCCUUCUCAACUGAUGCUGUCUCGAACCAUCCCCCUCUCACAAAUAGUUCCAUAUGGAGUCAGAAAUGCUGGCAGAAGUGCCCAGAGGCAAGUUGAUAAGCAGCUCAGCUGCACAGCUACUGAUCCAGCAGACUUGAUGCUGCAUCCUUAUGCUUUCAUUUUCUCUGCGCCACAAACCAGCACCCAGGUAAUAGCAAAGUACCAGAAGUAGAGAAAGAAAUAAAGUAAUAAAAGAAAGAGCAUGGGAAGCUGGAAAGGUCCCUGACUGCUACAGGCACUACAGUGAAGAGAAUUAACCCCUUCUCAGCCAAAACCAGCACAACGUAAUACAUGUAUAUGAUAGAGAGUGAAGUUUGAAAUUUUGUCUUGCUCCUGAAGAAGAGUGAAAUAGGUAAAGGAAAAAAGGCAAAAUAAAAUUUUGCUGGUAUCUGCUUAUCCCAUGCCUUGUAUAGUUUCCCCCUCAACAGAGUUUUUCUAGUGUUUUGAUUUGCAAGCCUGUUAAUCUCUAGAAACAUAUUUCACCAUUGUAGUUGAUACAUAAAUGUCUUUAACUUGUAUAAAAGUUUUCUUCAACUUUUAUCUGAGUCUCUCUGCCCUUUUUCCCUUCUUUUUGUGAGAUGAGUCUGUCUAUCUGAAUAUACAGAUAUUUUGCAAAUGUUUUCCUCGCUAAAUGUCAACAUACUUGGAAUCCUUUUAACACAGAUCGGCUCAUUAAGGCAUAGGAUCAGAAUAUGAAAAUACUGUGCAAUGGGAAUAGAAGAGUUAUUCCUCUGUUUAGUUAGGCAUUCUUUCUCACUGAGCGCAUAUUAGGUAAGGAGUUUAUUUUCAAAAGAAUACUUUGUGUGCCUGUUCUUUUUUGACUUUAUAACACUCCUCACCUUCCAAAAAUAAAACUUUUGAAUUAAUAUCUAGUCUGGAAGACUGGGUGACUGUGUGCUCUAAUGGUACAAGAAUGAAGAGCUAGUGUUCUUGAGUGCAGGAAUUCUUUUUGUCCUGGUUUCCUAGGGAAACAAGGGUAUGAUCACGUACAAUGUGCAUGCUGAUUUCUCUUCUGAUUUCUGUUACUGCCAGAUUUCAACCAAACUUACAGAGAGGUGGAGAUGUUGAAGAUGAUAAAUUCCUUAAAAUUAGGUAGCUGUGUAGAAGGUAAGUACCCCAGAACAGCAUGGCUUUUAAAGUGAAAAUUAGCAGCUCAAGCUAGCAGUAAUAGAAAAACACCUUGCAGUUACCCCUUAUGAAUGAUUCUGCUUUGGGAAAGGUUUUGUUUGGAACUGGCACAUCUUAGGCCAAAGAAAUUCAGUUACAGCGUGACCAAAUGAUAAAGUGACAAAUGAAAUUCAGUAUACAAAGAAAGGGGUAUAUAUGCAAUUUAAAACAGUCUUCUCAUAGGCAGUGAUAGCCUCUCAGCCACAUGCAGUCACUUGGAAAAGAGUUCUUAGAACUGUAAUAGGUAGUUAUGUGAAGAUAUAAAUUCCGUGAUCAGCUAGGGUCAAAAAAGUAAUACAAAGAAUUUUUAGAAAAGAGAUA
This is a non-coding RNA of Phalacrocorax carbo (great cormorant), 2622 nucleotides long. The record is from RefSeq and is a predicted model, not a curated record. Lineage: Eukaryota; Metazoa; Chordata; Aves; Suliformes; Phalacrocoracidae.